RNAcentral lists this non-coding RNA (21 nucleotides) under Rattus norvegicus (Norway rat). Lineage: Eukaryota; Metazoa; Chordata; Mammalia; Rodentia; Muridae. The record is from RNAcentral.
AUAGUGGACUGAACCACUGAA